Molecule: ribosomal RNA, 512 nt
Filed under: uncultured bacterium
Lineage: Bacteria
Description: bacterial SSU rRNA
Rfam family: Bacterial small subunit ribosomal RNA
Source: RNAcentral
UCCUGGCUCAGAGCGAACGUUAGCGGCGGGCCUAACACAUGCAAGUCGAACGCGAAAGGUCUUCGGACUGAGUAGAGUGGCGCACGGGUGAGUAACACGUAGGUAAUCUACCCUUUGGCGGGGGAUAACGUUCCGAAAGGAGCGCUAAUACCGCAUAAGACCACGGAGUCUCCGGACGCUGUGGGAAAAGGUGGCCUCUUCUUGAAAGCUACCACCGAAGGAUGAGCCUGCGUCCCAUCAGCUAGUUGGUAAGGUAAUGGCUUACCAAGGCGAAGACGGGUAGCUGGUUUGAGAGAAUGAUCAGCCACACUGGCACUGGAACACGGGCCAGACUCCUACGGGAGGCAGCAGUGAGGAAUAUUGGGCAAUGGGCGAAAGCCUGACCCAGCCACGCCGCGUGAGUGAUGAAGGCCCUCGGGUCGUAAAGCUCUGUGGAGAGGGACGAAAACCCUGGUUUCAAAUAGGCUCCAGGCUUGACGGUACCUCUUUAGCAAGCACCGGCUAACUCUGUG